RNAcentral lists this ribosomal RNA (257 nucleotides) under uncultured bacterium. RNAcentral's name for it is "partial 16S ribosomal RNA". It matches the Rfam family "Bacterial small subunit ribosomal RNA", at positions 524 to 777 of the family's 1533-position model. The record is from RNAcentral.
UACGGAGGAUCCAAGCGUUAUCCGGAAUCAUUGGGUUUAAAGGGUCCGUAGGCGGUUUGGUAAGUCAGUGGUGAAAGCCCAUCGCUCAACGGUGGAACGGCCAUUGAUACUGCCAGACUUGAAUUAUUAGGAAGUAACUAGAAUAUGUAGUGUAGCGGUGAAAUGCUUAGAGAUUACAUGGAAUACCAAUUGCGAAGGCAGGUUACUACUAAUGGAUUUGACGCUGAUGGACGAAAAGCGUGGGGUAGCGAACAGGG